This is a long non-coding RNA of Teleopsis dalmanni, 254 nucleotides long. RefSeq lists it as uncharacterized. Lineage: Eukaryota; Metazoa; Arthropoda; Insecta; Diptera; Diopsidae. The record is from RefSeq and is a predicted model, not a curated record. The transcript is spliced from 2 exons.
UAAAACAGUAAAAAUAAAAGAAAUUAAAAUAUAUCCGUUAAAAUAACAAUAUAUUACAAGUGAAACUAAUGAGGAAGUAUUUAAUAUGACAAUUUCCAAUUUCUUGAUACAUAAAUUAAAAUAUUACCACAAUGGACAGUUUAUAGAGUUAGUAUUAAAUUUUUAUGGCAUUUGUUAUUUGUUCGAGAAAUAGAGCAGAGCAUUCGGGUAAGUUUAAGAGGGGUACUUGGUUAUGGUGUCAGUAUAAAUAAUAA